Molecule: ribosomal RNA, 665 nt
Filed under: Staphylococcus aureus
Lineage: Bacteria; Bacillati; Bacillota; Bacilli; Caryophanales; Staphylococcaceae
Description: partial 23S ribosomal RNA
Rfam family: Bacterial large subunit ribosomal RNA
Source: RNAcentral
CUGAGUACGACGGAGCACGUGAAAUUCCGUCGGAAUCUGGGAGGACCAUCUCCUAAGGCUAAAUACUCUCUAGUGACCGAUAGUGAACCAGUACCGUGAGGGAAAGGUGAAAAGCACCCCGGAAGGGGAGUGAAAUAGAACCUGAAACCGUGUGCUUACAAGUAGUCAGAGCCCGUUAAUGGGUGAUGGCGUGCCUUUUGUAGAAUGAACCGGCGAGUUACGAUUUGAUGCAAGGUUAAGCAGUAAAUGUGGAGCCGUAGCGAAAGCGAGUCUGAAUAGGGCGUUUAGUAUUUGGUCGUAGACCCGAAACCAGGUGAUCUACCCUUGGUCAGGUUGAAGUUCAGGUAACACUGAAUGGAGGACCGAACCGACUUACGUUGAAAAGUGAGCGGAUGAACUGAGGGUAGCGGAGAAAUUCCAAUCGAACCUGGAGAUAGCUGGUUCUCUCCGAAAUAGCUUUAGGGCUAGCCUCAAGUGAUGAUUAUUGGAGGUAGAGCACUGUUUGGACGAGGGGCCCCUCUCGGGUUACCGAAUUCAGACAAACUCCGAAUGCCAAUUAAUUUAACUUGGGAGUCAGAACAUGGGUGAUAAGGUCCGUGUUCGAAAGGGAAACAGCCCAGACCACCAGCUAAGGUCCCAAAAUAUAUGUUAAGUGGAAAAGGAUG